Molecule: ribosomal RNA, 765 nt
Filed under: uncultured bacterium
Lineage: Bacteria
Description: bacterial SSU rRNA
Rfam family: Bacterial small subunit ribosomal RNA
Source: RNAcentral
AACAGGAUUAGAUACCCUGGUAGUCCACGCUGUAAACGAUGUCGAUUUGGAGGUUGUGCCCUUGAGGCGUGGCUUCCGGAGCUAACGCGUUAAAUCGACCGCCUGGGGAGUACGGCCGCAAGGUUAAAACUCAAAUGAAUUGACGGGGGCCCGCACAAGCGGUGGAGCAUGUGGUUUAAUUCGAUGCAACGCGAAGAACCUUACCUACUCUUGACAUCCAGAGAACUUAGCAGAGAUGCUUUGGUGCCUUCGGGAACUCUGAGACAGGUGCUGCAUGGCUGUCGUCAGCUCGUGUUGUGAAAUGUUGGGUUAAGUCCCGCAACGAGCGCAACCCUUAUCCUUUGUUGCCAGCGGUUCGGCCGGGAACUCAAAGGAGACUGCCAGUGAUAAACUGGAGGAAGGUGGGGAUGACGUCAAGUCAUCAUGGCCCUUACGAGUAGGGCUACACACGUGCUACAAUGGCGUAUACAAAGAGAAGCGACCUCGCGAGAGCAAGCGGACCUCAUAAAGUACGUCGUAGUCCGGAUUGGAGUCUGCAACUCGACUCCAUGAAGUCGGAAUCGCUAGUAAUCGUAGAUCAGAAUGCUACGGUGAAUACGUUCCCGGGCCUUGUACACACCGCCCGUCACACCAUGGAAGUGAAAUGCACCAGAAGUGGCAAGUUUAACCAAAAAACAGGAGAACAGUCACUACGGUGUGGUUCAUGACUGGGGUGAAGUCGUAACAAGGUAGCUGUAGGGGAACCUGUGGCUGGAUCACCUCCUU